CCUUGCUUCUUAUCUAAAUUUAAACUGGAAAAUAAAAUUUAAAACAUCGUAAAAAAAUGAUGAUUAAAAGGAUUAUGCUGAAGCAAAGGUGAAAGGACUAGUGAGAAAUGGGUCCUUGUCUCUGAAGGCAGUUCUCCUAGACCAGUACACAGAUCCUCAUUCAACAAGAUGCGCUUCCCUGUUUGGGGAAUACUGUGAGGUCCAGUUGCUCUUCUUUAUGUGAUCACUGAGCCUGCCAAAGAAGGCAAUUGUUGCGGAACUCUAUGCAUGUCAAUGUUGGCCAGCAUCAGCACUUUGCUAAAGUCCAUCUCUUCUCUUCUGCAUUUCAGUGAUCCAGGAUGUAAUCUUGGUGCCCCAAUCAUUUCACCUUCAGGAGUCUAUGCUGGCUGACUAUUUGUCUGAAGCUCUCCAAGAUCUAACUGAUAGAUGGUCUUUGUCAUCCUGUGAUUCAGCAUGCCUAAUAUUCACCCCAGUCAUGAGCUAUACAAGACCCUAAUGCCAGCUGACCAUUUAUCUGAAGCAUGCCUAGACAUCCCAGCAAGAUGGUCUUAGCAUCCUGUGAUCCAGGAUGCUGACUUACUGCUCCAGUCAUGAGACCUUCAGGACUCUAAUGCUGGCUGAAUAUUUGUCUGAAGCUCUCAGGGACAUACCUGGUGGAUAGUCUUUAUCAGACUGGAUGCAAAUUUGGUGCCCCAGUCAUUUCAACUUCAGUGAUCCAGGAUGCAGACUUGGUGCCCCAAUCAUUUCACCUUCAGUGAUCCAGGAUGCUUGGCUGGUCCCCAGACAUUUCACCUUCAGGAGCCUAAUGUCGACUGAAUAUUUGUCCAAAGCUCGAGGAGAACUAUCUUCUAGAUGGGCUUUGUCGUCCUGGAAAGUAGCACUGUUUGUGACCCACGACCAGUGAUCCCAGAUGCCAACAUGGUGCCCCAUUCAUGAGACCUUCAGGAGCCUAAUGCCGGCUGACCAUUUGUCCGAAGCUAGCCGAGACUUUCCUUCUAGAUGGUCUUUGUCAUCCUGUGAUCCAAUGUGCAGACUUGGUGCCCCAAUAAUUUCACCUUCAGUGAUCCAGGAUGCUGUCUUGGAAUCCCAUUCAUGAGACCUUCAGUGAUCUGGGAUGCCCUCUUAGAUCCAAGAGCAUCAGACCUUUCAGUGAUCUAAGAUGCUGUUCUGGAACCCACACCCUCAGAUCUUUAAGGAUUCCCUGAGCUGUGAGAAGAGAGGCCCAAUGGAGACUUCCAAUUUAGACUCUCUCUACAUAACAUCAGGCUGUGUGUCUCUGAAUCUUCUCCCAUCUGCUACUGGAGGAAGUCUCUCUGAUGACAACUUGACAUGGCUGUGAUCUAAAAAUUUGCUCACAGCUGAAAGGUUCCCUGAUCCACAGCAGUGGUAAGGAGCUUCUAGCUGCUGAAAUGGCUACUCAACUCAGCUAGAUAAGCACCACCAGUGGUUUCAACAGACUGAGUCCCCUCUCUUCUCUCUAACAGAAAUUCAUUUGGUUUGAGUUUCUUGACCGUUGCUUAGAAAUUACAGGUUGUAAUACAUUAAAAACAAAAUCAGACCAGAGUUUCUUUGCUCCUGCACUCAAUUUGGUGGUACACCUGCAACACCUGCUGACCAUCAACAAGUGAGCCAACGCUCACCCAGACCUCAGUCUUCCAGUAUUUUCCUUAAGGAAAACAGAAAACAUCCAUCUUCAAGAAUCCAAAAGACACUGAACAUGCAGAUGCCUAAAGAAGAAAGAAUAGCUAUACAGAAAGAGCCAUCAAACAAAGAAUACUCUGACUUAUGGAGACACAAUUGCUUCUGACAGCACUAACCAAUUCCUGAAAAUAUGAUGGACACCGAUGACACUCCAUGUGGAGUUUGUUCUCUCCUUGGUUAGUGUCCUUUCGGGCAAAGAACUGCCCCUACCUUGACCACUGACCUUGGACAAGCUGUCCUAACUGGCCUAGCAGGAGAUAAACUUAAAGAAUACUGCUGAAGCUCGCAAAGUCAUGUGAUAUGAGAUGCCCUCUUCAAUGCCACAGCAUUGCACCUUUCAGAGUACACAACCUUGCCCAGGUUUUGACUGGUUAUUGAAACACUCAUUUGUUAAAAGAUGACUUGUCUGGAUCAAUGAUGAAAACAACUCUCUGAAGAUGGUGAAUAACUCAUAUAAACGAAAAUCAGAAGUUGAGAGAUAAGUCCCUCAAAUAAGGCAAAUAAGAUUCUCAGAGCCUGCCUUUUCCUAAUGAACUUUUGGUGAAGUCCUCUAACCAGAAUGUGUUGGUUUUGUCUCCUAACUUUUAAGGUAAUAUGCACAGUAAUUUUUUCUAGUGACUCCAAAUUUGUGUCAUUUUUCUUUUUUUUAUUUAAUUUAAAUUAGAAACAAGUUUGCUUCACAUGUCAAUCCCAGA
This is a long non-coding RNA of Mesocricetus auratus (golden hamster), 2396 nucleotides long. RefSeq lists it as uncharacterized. The record is from RefSeq and is a predicted model, not a curated record. Lineage: Eukaryota; Metazoa; Chordata; Mammalia; Rodentia; Cricetidae. The transcript has 22 exons.